This 86-nucleotide non-coding RNA is filed under the name Oceanobacillus jeddahensis. RNAcentral describes it as "Purine riboswitch". The stretch from base 12 to 84 matches the Rfam family "Purine riboswitch aptamer", at positions 18 to 90 of the family's 102-position model. Rfam says of the family: Riboswitches are metabolite binding domains within certain messenger RNAs that serve as precision sensors for their corresponding targets. Allosteric rearrangement of mRNA structure is mediated by ligand binding, and this results in modulation of gene expression. Lineage: Bacteria; Bacillati; Bacillota; Bacilli; Caryophanales; Bacillaceae. The record is from RNAcentral.
CGUAUUUUGAUUAUCUAUAUAAAGUUGGAAAUAUGGUCCAAAAGUUUCUACCAAACUACCGUAAAUGGUUUGACUAUAGAAAAUCA